This 371-nucleotide transfer-messenger RNA is filed under the name Alicyclobacillaceae. RNAcentral describes it as "Alicyclobacillus_H macrosporangiidus Standard tmRNA". It matches the Rfam family "transfer-messenger RNA". Rfam says of the family: Bacterial tmRNA, also known as 10Sa RNA or SsrA, is named for its dual tRNA and mRNA-like properties. RNAcentral also lists the same sequence under 1 other name. The record is from RNAcentral. Lineage: Bacteria; Bacillati; Bacillota; Bacilli; Caryophanales.
GGGGGCGUUUUGGAUUCGACGGGGAUUGUUCGAGCAUGAACGGCGGGUCGUGGGGCCGCGGGGCCACGUAAAAAACGCGGACCUAAAUUAACUGGCAAAGCGAAACGCUUUUCCACCAACAACCUCGCCCUGGCUGCCUAAUCGCACCCAGGCCGUCGCCUAGCGCAUCGCCCGUGUGCGCUUGGUGACGUCACCUCAGCGGGCUGGACGGCCGCCUCGCUCACGGGCGGCGGUCGAGACCUUCGUGAGCUGACCUGCUGGCCAGCGUGUGCAUCCGCGGGCCGCAGGGACACCCAGUAGAUGUACUACACCCGUAGAAGUUCAUGUGGCGAGAUCUUCGGACGCGGGUUCGACUCCCGUCGCCUCCACCA